UUCCUACGGGGGGCAGCAGUGGGGAAUAUUGCACAAUGGGGGAAACCCUGAUGCAGCGACGCCGCGUGGGUGAAGAAGUAUUUCGGUAUGUAAAGCCCUAUCAGCAGGGAAGAAGAAUGACGGUACCUGACUAAGAAGCACCGGCUAAAUACGUGCCAGCAGCCGCGGUAAUACGUAUGGUGCAAGCGUUAUCCGGAUUUACUGGGUGUAAAGGGAGCGUAGGUGGCAAGGCAAGUCAGAUGUGAAAACCCGGGGCCCAACCCCGGGAGUGCAUUUGAAACUGUCUGGCUAGAGUGCAGGAGAGG
This 305-nucleotide ribosomal RNA is filed under the name uncultured bacterium. RNAcentral describes it as "bacterial SSU rRNA". It matches the Rfam family "Bacterial small subunit ribosomal RNA", at positions 336 to 657 of the family's 1533-position model. The record is from RNAcentral.